Molecule: ribosomal RNA, 436 nt
Filed under: Chondrilla sp. 3-KMU-2003
Lineage: Eukaryota; Metazoa; Porifera; Demospongiae; Chondrillida; Chondrillidae
Description: eukaryotic LSU rRNA
Source: RNAcentral
GUCGGGGAAGCGAAUGAGCUGCCGGUGGCGCCGGUGUCGUCAGGCGUCCCGGCGGACGCUCUGUGGUGGUUGUCUGACCCCUCUGGGGGGAGUACUGCUGGGAGACCGUCCCGCCGGGCCUGGCUGCAUUGAUGCCGGGGCUUGGCCAGCACCGGUUCGUAGCUGCGGGAGAAGCGUUUGGCUGGGUAGCUUGUCGAGGUGGUCCCUGCCUCGCCGAUGGCCUGCCGAAACUGUUGCCUGCCUAGAACCGAGGUGAGUCGGCAUCCAUUGCCCUUGCGGUGCGAGCCUGAAGCUGGACGGCGUUGCUGCACUGCCGGGCCUCCCCUGGACUGCUUGCAGUGCUGGGGCUGUGCCUUGCGGGUGGUGCCGGAAUGUGCGGUCACAAUGCGCACCGAGGGUGCUGGCCUGAGAUGUCUCAUCCGACCCGUCUUGAAAA